AGUAAUGUAUAGGAACUUGCCUAGUAGUGGGGGGAGUAACGUGUGGAAACGCACGCUAAUACCGCAUACGCUCUACGGAGGAAAGCGGGGGGAUCUUCGGACCUCGUGCUACUAGAUGGGCCUGUAUCAGAUUAGCUAGUUGGUAAGGUAAUGGCUUACCAAGGCGACGAUCUGUAGCUGGUUUGAGAGAAUGAUCAGCCACACUGGGACUGAGACACGGCCCAG
RNAcentral lists this ribosomal RNA (225 nucleotides) under uncultured bacterium. RNAcentral's name for it is "partial 16S ribosomal RNA". It matches the Rfam family "Bacterial small subunit ribosomal RNA", at positions 109 to 334 of the family's 1533-position model. The record is from RNAcentral.